GAAAUGCGAUAAGUAAUGUGAAUUGCAGAAUUCAGUGAAUCAUCGAAUCUUUGAACGCACCUUGCGCUCCUUGGUAUUCCUUGGAGCAUGCCUGUUUGAGUAUCAUGAAAUCUUCAAAGUAAAUCUUUUGUUAACUCAAUUGGUUUCUACUUUGGUAUUGGAGGUCUUUGCAGCUUCACACCUGCUCCUCUUUGUUCAUUAGCUGGAUCUCAGUGUUAUGCUUGGUUCCACUCGGCGUGAUAAGUUAUCUAUCGCUGAGGACACUGUAAAAGGUGGCCAAGGUAAAUGCAGAUGAACCCCUUCUAAUAGUCCAUUGACUUGGACAAUACUUUUAUGAUCUGAUCUCAAAUCAGGUAGGACUACCCGCUGAACUUAAGC
RNAcentral lists this unclassified non-coding RNA (378 nucleotides) under plant metagenome. RNAcentral's name for it is "partial contains 5.8S ribosomal RNA, internal transcribed spacer 2, and large subunit ribosomal RNA". The stretch from base 1 to 105 matches the Rfam family "5.8S ribosomal RNA", at positions 50 to 154 of the family's 154-position model. The record is from RNAcentral.